Long non-coding RNA from Motacilla alba alba, 314 nucleotides. RefSeq lists it as uncharacterized. NCBI's taxonomy places the organism in Eukaryota, Metazoa, Chordata, Aves, Passeriformes, Motacillidae. The transcript is spliced from 3 exons. The record is from RefSeq and is a predicted model, not a curated record.
CGGCCAAACACAUCCAGGCACUGCAUUUUAAUUCCUCUGACUGCACCUGCGCUGACAGCACACUGCACAUCCUGCCUCUCUGAAAAAGGGGAACAGCAGCAUGACAAACAUCUUUACUCAGAAGCUGAAGCCAGGAGGAGUUGCAGAGCCAUGGCAUUGGUUUGAACCCAUUUCUCCCAGUGUGGUCAGAAGCAGAGACCCCAACAGCAUGUUUGUGGUUAGGAACGACAUUCCUGAUGCUAUCCCAAUGUUAGGAAGUGAUGGCUGUCUCUAACAGCAAGAGCUGAAUCAGAUUUCUGAAACUAAAAGUAAAG